Vicugna pacos (alpaca) is the source of this 650-nucleotide non-coding RNA. NCBI's taxonomy places the organism in Eukaryota, Metazoa, Chordata, Mammalia, Artiodactyla, Camelidae. The record is from RefSeq and is a predicted model, not a curated record.
AAUUUCUGAAGUAGUCCUUUCUUUCCUUUGUCCUUAGGGUAGGGCUGCAACAAGCCAGGAGCAUUUCCAAGGCUGCAGAGAAAGGAGACAUUCUGCAUGUGCAGGUGGUGACCCAGAGGGACUCACAUGAACGUACAAGAAAACAGUAAAGAAGAGCAGUAAAGUCACAUGAUGAAGAACAUAAAGCCCAGCGCUUUAAUGGAACUAACUAGAUCUACAUUUAUCCAAAGGAAUAGAAUCUCAAGAACAAUGCUGAGUAAAAACCAAGUUUUUGAAUGUUAAGUACAAUAUGAUAGCAUUUAUGUAAGUUGUUUUUUCACGCUUAAAACAGUGCCGUCUAUAAGAGGCAGUGGCUCGGCCACUUAUGGCUUAUGACCCUUGGGCAAGUUAUUUACUCUCUCUGUGCCUCAAUCUGUUCAUCUAUAAAAUGGGGAGAAUGAGAAUACAUAACUUACGGGACUAUUAUAAAAAUUAAAUGUGUUAACAGAUGUAAAGUUCUUAGAACCAAGGCUGCCUUGUAGGUGUUAGUGAUUAUUAUACUGCUUAUGGCUACAGGAUUGGUUUAUAAGUGUGAAAUUAUGUAUAUUAUGUAUCUAUGAAAUGCUUGUUUAAUAAAAGCAUUAAUGUAAGAAGAUCUCUGUCUUAAUAUA